Non-coding RNA from Maylandia zebra (zebra mbuna), 320 nucleotides. NCBI's taxonomy places the organism in Eukaryota, Metazoa, Chordata, Actinopteri, Cichliformes, Cichlidae. The record is from RefSeq and is a predicted model, not a curated record.
UGGUUCCUCUCUCAGACAUAUGUUGUCAUCUGUUGGAUCAGUCUGUGUUGUGGUUCUACUGGUGUUGCUGGUUCUACUGGGGAGACAAUGUGUUCACAGGAAACCUGAAGCAGGUCAAGAAGAAACUGGAGAAGAUGACAUCAUCACUCAUGUCAUGUACAGUUUCAUCAAAUCAUCAACAACAGCCAGUCAGAAGAAGCAGAGGAAGUGAAGCCAAACAGCAAAAGGAUCUCAAUCCCCUGCUUAAGAUCCCCUAGAGCAGGGGUCAGCAACCUUUAACACCCAAAGAGCCAUUUGGACCCGGUUUCCACGCAAAAGAA